Molecule: long non-coding RNA, 647 nt
Organism: Hyla sarda
Lineage: Eukaryota; Metazoa; Chordata; Amphibia; Anura; Hylidae
Exons: 3
Source: RefSeq, a predicted model, not a curated record
CACCAUCAGGAAAAUAAAGGUCCAAAACCCAUCUGUCGGCUGGUACCCUAGUAGUUCCUACAGCCCAAUGUUUCACUCACGGGCAGAAAGGGAGCAAACCAUGUCCCCUACAUGGUGCCAUUAAGUUCACAUAUGGUGGUCAAAGAACCUUCUUCACAAGUGGCUUAAAAAUGGAGGACUUGAGCUCCAUAGUGGGGAACUAUACUAAACCCUCAGUAUAUUGGUAAAAGCUCCCAAAAAGAUGCAUUCCUGCUACCUCACUGGAUUUUAUUCAACCUGCUAGAAAAUUCCCCUCAGAUGCUGCAGCACACAUGGAACAAAGAUUCUGACAGGCUGGUCCUCUGUGUCCUUUCUCUGUUGCUGAACUCUGAACCAAGAUGGCUACAAGCACAUAUCCAAAAACUCUUAAUUUCCCAGUUUAGGUCACUGAUUGUGCUGUCCGCCCUCUUUUGGACACUUCAUGUAUUGCAGGCUAAUACAAAUCAAUGAUAAACAUUCAGGAAAUAGGAGACUAUUCUUCUUAUAUCUAUUUAGAAGAACAUGGCUCUUAGAGGAAAAACAGCAGUGCCAUUAUGUAGAUAUAUUACACAUUUUUAUGUCUGCUUAAUACCCAGCCUGUGGGUAGGGGGAGGAGGGCAGGGGGGCAU